RNAcentral lists this ribosomal RNA (254 nucleotides) under uncultured bacterium. Its description in RNAcentral is "partial 16S ribosomal RNA". It matches the Rfam family "Bacterial small subunit ribosomal RNA", at positions 524 to 776 of the family's 1533-position model. The record is from RNAcentral.
UACGUAGGCAGCGAGCGUUGUUCGGAGUUACUGGGCGUAAAGGGUGUGUAGGCGGUUGUUUAAGUUUGGUGUGAAAUCUCCCGGCUCAACUGGGAGGGUGCGCCGAAUACUGAAUGACUUGGAGUGCGGGAGAGGAGAGUGGAAUUCCUGGUGUAGCGGUGAAAUGCGUAGAUAUCAGGAGGAACACCGGUGGUGUAGACGGCUCUCUGGACCGUAACUGACGCUGAGACACGAAAGCUAGGGUAGCAAACGGG